GGAAGUUCUUAGGUGAUGCACCCCAGAAUCAGGCUCCCUCCUCUCUGGUUCUGGGUGCGUCACCAGAGAACUGCA
Myotis lucifugus (little brown bat) is the source of this 75-nucleotide non-coding RNA. The record is from Rfam. NCBI's taxonomy places the organism in Eukaryota, Metazoa, Chordata, Mammalia, Chiroptera, Vespertilionidae.